CACGAGAAACACCAAGAAGGUAUGGAACUUCUGUGAUAGGAAACAGCAUGGAGCUCCUGCAAUGAGAUGAAAACAGAAACUCCGGGUGCAGGAGGGUUUGCUGCGCACUGCUCUUGCCUCAGCACUGAGACUGUCAGUGGUGUUAACUUGAAGGCACAACAACAAAACUCAUUUCACAUAGAUCAUUGAACAUCAGACAUUAAAAAUUCUUCUGUCCCCGCCUCCAGAUGGAACCUGAAGCAGUGACCUGGAGAAUUGAGUAAUCCCUUCCAGGCCAGGGAAGACUUGGAGAAGUGGACAACUGGAGAUGCAGCUGCAAAACUGUGCUGGAGGGGGCUAAAAUGACCGUGGUUGAAGUGUAGGGAGUUGCCAAUGAUGUGGUGAGGAGGGUGCAGCCUUCCCAGCUCACUGCAGGAAUGGCUGAGGUGAAUCAAUGCCAGCACCAUGGAAUCCUCAUCCACCUCCUGAUGGCCAUACUGAGCACUCCAGGGAAGCAGUGGAAAGGAGUUGCACCCAUAUGAAACCUGUGUGCAACAUGCUUGUUCACAGGGGAGUAAGAAACUAACAAUAUACUGGAAAAAUGAGUGGGGCAAAAAAGAAAUUGAGAAUUGGAAGGAAGAAGCAAUUGAGAACAAAUCUGUUCCAAGUGAGUUGCUGACCUUUCAUUUGAUAGUAAACGCACUGAGCAAAUGGCCCAAUGCCUUGUGCUGAGCUGUGCCAGCUUGUCCUGGUCCAGGCCUGCCUGUGUGCUGGGUUCAGGGCCAGGCUGACUCCCUGCCAGCUUGGGGAGGCUCAGGAGCCCUGGGCUAGGGGCAGAUCCAGCAUUUCAGCCACAAAAUGGGAAUGAGAUGCACUGUGUGGGUGAUCCUCACCUUCACAUCAGCCUAUGAAUGCAUCAGGUGAGUCAUGGUGUGUCACAAAAGUGUGUCCUUGAAUACACUGGCAGGAUGAAUUUCUGCUGGACCCUCCAGGAACAGGCUGAAAACACUGUGGGAAAUGGUAAAUGGGGAUGGAAAGUGGCCAAAGGAGUGAGAGCUCCAUCCAACUGGAUAGCCUCAGCUCUCCAAACAAUCCAGCUCUGUGCAUGAAUGGAAGCAAGUGGUGCCCACCCCUUCCACUGAGGUUUCUUCUCAUAUUAGA
This is a non-coding RNA of Zonotrichia albicollis (white-throated sparrow), 1140 nucleotides long. The record is from RefSeq and is a predicted model, not a curated record. NCBI's taxonomy places the organism in Eukaryota, Metazoa, Chordata, Aves, Passeriformes, Passerellidae.